GGUUCCUUUUUUUAGGGUACCCCCGGAACAGAUCCAGUGGAGACGGGGUGGGGCCUGUAGCUCAGAGGAUUA
RNAcentral lists this transfer RNA (72 nucleotides) under Cucumis hystrix. RNAcentral describes it as "tRNA-Arg". Lineage: Eukaryota; Viridiplantae; Streptophyta; Magnoliopsida; Cucurbitales; Cucurbitaceae. The record is from RNAcentral.